RNAcentral lists this ribosomal RNA (2645 nucleotides) under Shigella sonnei. RNAcentral's name for it is "bacterial LSU rRNA". It matches the Rfam family "Bacterial large subunit ribosomal RNA". Lineage: Bacteria; Pseudomonadati; Pseudomonadota; Gammaproteobacteria; Enterobacterales; Enterobacteriaceae. The record is from RNAcentral.
UUAAGCGACUAAGCGUACACGGUGGAUGCCCUGGCAGUCAGAGGCGAUGAAGGACGUGCUAAUCUGCGAUAAGCGUCGGUAAGGUGAUAUGAACCGUUAUAACCGGCGAUUUCCGAAUGGGGAAACCCAGUGUGNNNNNNNNNNNNNNNNNNNNNCCAUCCUCCAAGGCUAAAUACUCCUGACUGACCGAUAGUGAACCAGUACCGUGAGGGAAAGGCGAAAAGAACCCCGGCGAGGGGAGUGAAAAAGAACCUGAAACCGUGUACGUACAAGCAGUGGGAGCACGCUUAGGCGUGUGACUGCGUACCUUUUGUAUAAUGGGUCAGCGACUUAUAUUCUGUAGCAAGGUUAACCGAAUAGGGGAGCCGAAGGGAAACCGAGUCUUAACUGGGCGUUAAGUUGCAGGGUAUAGACCCGAAACCCGGUGAUCUAGCCAUGGGCAGGUUGAAGGUUGGGUAACACUAACUGGAGGACCGAACCGACUAAUGUUGAAAAAUUAGCGGAUGACUUGUGGCUGGGGGUGAAAGGCCAAUCAAACCGGGAGAUAGCUGGUUCUCCCCGAAAGCUAUUUAGGUAGCGCCUCGUGAAUUCAUCUCCGGGGGUAGAGCACUGUUUCGGCAAGGGGGUCAUCCCGACUUACCAACCCGAUGCAAACUGCGAAUACCGGAGAAUGUUAUCACGGGAGACACACGGCGGGUGCUAACGUCCGUCGUGAAGAGGGAAACAACCCAGACCGCCAGCUAAGGUCCCAAAGUCAUGGUUAAGUGGGAAACGAUGUGGGAAGGCCCAGACAGCCAGGAUGUUGGCUUAGAAGCAGCCAUCAUUUAAAGAAAGCGUAAUAGCUCACUGGUCGAGUCGGCCUGCGCGGAAGAUGUAACGGGGCUAAACCAUGCACCGAAGCUGCGGCAGCGACGCUUAUGCGUUGUUGGGUAGGGGAGCGUUCUGUAAGCCUGCGAAGGUGUGCUGUGAGGCAUGCUGGAGGUAUCAGAAGUGCGAAUGCUGACAUAAGUAACGAUAAAGCGGGUGAAAAGCCCGCUCGCCGGAAGACCAAGGGUUCCUGUCCAACGUUAAUCGGGGCAGGGUGAGUCGACCCCUAAGGCGAGGCCGAAAGGCGUAGUCGAUGGGAAACAGGUUAAUAUUCCUGUACUUGGUGUUACUGCGAAGGGGGGACGGAGAAGGCUAUGUUGGCCGGGCGACGGUUGUCCCGGUUUAAGCGUGUAGGCUGGUUUUCCAGGCAAAUCCGGAAAAUCAAGGCUGAGGCGUGAUGACGAGGCACUACGGUGCUGAAGCAACAAAUGCCCUGCUUCCAGGAAAAGCCUCUAAGCAUCAGGUAACAUCAAAUCGUACCCCAAACCGACACAGGUGGUCAGGUAGAGAAUACCAAGGCGCUUGAGAGAACUCGGGUGAAGGAACUAGGCAAAAUGGUGCCGUAACUUCGGGAGAAGGCACGCUGAUAUGUAGGUGAAGUCCCUUGCGGAUGGAGCUGAAAUCAGUCGAAGAUACCAGCUGGCUGCAACUGUUUAUUAAAAACACAGCACUGUGCAAACACGAAAGUGGACGUAUACGGUGUGACGCCUGCCCGGUGCCGGAAGGUUAAUUGAUGGGGUCAGCGCAAGCGAAGCUCUUGAUCGAAGCCCCGGUAAACGGCGGCCGUAACUAUAACGGUCCUAAGGUAGCGAAAUUCCUUGUCGGGUAAGUUCCGACCUGCACGAAUGGCGUAAUGAUGGCCAGGCUGUCUCCACCCGAGACUCAGUGAAAUUGAACUCGCUGUGAAGAUGCAGUGUACCCGCGGCAAGACGGAAAGACCCCGUGAACCUUUACUAUAGCUUGACACUGAACAUUGAGCCUUGAUGUGUAGGAUAGGUGGGAGGCUUUGAAGUGUGGACGCCAGUCUGCAUGGAGCCGGCCUUGAAAUACCACCCUUUAAUGUUUGAUGUUCUAACGUGGACCCGUGAUCCGGGUUGCGGACAGUGUCUGGUGGGUAGUUUGACUGGGGCGGUCUCCUCCUAAAGAGUAACGGAGGAGCACGAAGGUUGGCUAAUCCUGGUCGGACAUCAGGAGGUUAGUGCAAUGGCAUAAGCCAGCUUGACUGCGAGCGUGACGGCGCGAGCAGGUGCGAAAGCAGGUCAUAGUGAUCCGGUGGUUCUGAAUGGAAGGGCCAUCGCUCAACGGAUAAAAGGUACUCCGGGGAUAACAGGCUGAUACCGCCCAAGAGUUCAUAUCGACGGCGGUGUUUGGCACCUCGAUGUCGGCUCAUCACAUCCUGGGGCUGAAGUAGGUCCCAAGGGUAUGGCUGUUCGCCAUUUAAAGUGGUACGCGAGCUGGGUUUAGAACGUCGUGAGACAGUUCGGUCCCUAUCUGCCGUGGGCGCUGGAGAACUGAGGGGGGCUGCUCCUAGUACGAGAGGACCGGAGUGGACGCAUCACUGGUGUUCGGGUUGUCAUGCCAAUGGCACUGCCCGGUAGCUAAAUGCGGAAGAGAUAAGUGCUGAAAGCAUCUAAGCACGAAACUUGCCCCGAGAUGAGUUCUCCCUGACCCUUUAAGGGUCCUGAAGGAACGUUGAAGACGACGACGUUGAUAGGCCGGGUGUGUAAGCGCAGCGAUGCGUUGAGCUAACCGGUACUAAUGAACCGUGAGGCUUAACC